RNAcentral lists this long non-coding RNA (203 nucleotides) under Elaeis guineensis (African oil palm). Its description in RNAcentral is "long non-coding RNA (EGUI_LNC076080)". The record is from RNAcentral. Lineage: Eukaryota; Viridiplantae; Streptophyta; Magnoliopsida; Arecales; Arecaceae.
AGGCUGAAACCCUAGGGAACACACUGAAAACCCUGUGCCCAAUUUUCUUUCUUUUCUUUCUUUUUCUCUCGGAAGGUUUUGGACCUUCACCUCAUGCACAAGGCUUUCUCACGCCCCAUUUUCUCUCUCAAAAUUUUUCUAUGCACGCCCCAUCCUUCUCCUCUUUUUAAAACAACAUCGAACGUAUCUUAUCCGUGUGAGAG